Molecule: non-coding RNA, 864 nt
Organism: Opisthocomus hoazin
Lineage: Eukaryota; Metazoa; Chordata; Aves; Opisthocomiformes; Opisthocomidae
Source: RefSeq, a predicted model, not a curated record
GCGCAGUGCCUGUAUCAGCAAGCGUGAUGAGGCAGCGCGCGACGCGCGUUCCCCGUCGGCGGCUCCUUGGCUCGCUGGAAGUUGCACGCUCGGGUAUUUGUGUUUCUCUUGCCGAUCGUUCACGUUUCCUAGGUUUAGGUCCACCGUCCUCCUCCUGCACUGCCUUGAGCUCUAACACCUCCAUUACUGUUUAUAACAGUGUAUUUAUUACGUAAUGUACAUACUGUAAUGUUUUGUAAGUUAUUAAUUUAUAUGAAUUAACAUUGCCUGUCGGCGGCGAUGUUAAUUGUGUAGAAAACUCGGGAUAAGAGUUGCCUUUUUUUCUCGUAACCUUUUGUAUUGCAUAAAAUACAAGAACCUGAACAUAGCUGAAGAGACAGACGCAACCCAGGAAGGGCAUUCGGGCGGCAGCUGCCCAUGGGGCCGUCUUCCCGGCGAGCUGGGGGGGGGGGGGGGGGAACCAAACGAACGAAUCCCCCCGCGAACGGGCCAGCUUUUCGAUGUCACGUUCCAACUUCCGAACAACCCAAUGUGAAUUCCUAUGCUGAAAAUGUGAACUGAUGUAAUAAUUGUGCUGUGAAACUUCUUCUGACAAAGCUUGUCCGGCAUCGUGAGCCGUGUCGAUCUCAGUUUGUAAAAUAUGUUUCAAGCUUUUGGUCCAACUUGUGACUAACUAGUUCCUGAAAAUAGCACAGCUGUGCAUGAGCAAUGGGUUUGUAUGUCUGUUGAACACCGCGUUGUUCCAGGUGGUUAUUUUAUUGUUUCCAAAAGUUUCACACAAUGUAUGUUAUAGUAUUCUAUAUUGUGUUCAGAUGCAUUCUUAAGAGAUUUUUAUAUGAAGUGAAAUAAAUGAAAGCAUGACCC